UGUCUUAUGGUGUAAUGGUAGCACUGCAGGUUUUGGUUCUGUAUGUCCAGGUUCGAAUCCUGGUAAGACAACCA
Molecule: transfer RNA, 74 nt
Filed under: Muribaculaceae bacterium
Lineage: Bacteria; Pseudomonadati; Bacteroidota; Bacteroidia; Bacteroidales; Muribaculaceae
Description: tRNA-Gln
Rfam family: tRNA
About the family: Transfer RNA (tRNA) molecules are approximately 80 nucleotides in length. Their secondary structure includes four short double-helical elements and three loops (D, anti-codon, and T loops).
Source: RNAcentral